RNAcentral lists this transfer RNA (85 nucleotides) under Candidatus Magasanikbacteria bacterium RIFCSPHIGHO2_02_FULL_48_18. RNAcentral describes it as "tRNA-Leu". It matches the Rfam family "tRNA". Rfam says of the family: Transfer RNA (tRNA) molecules are approximately 80 nucleotides in length. Lineage: Bacteria; Candidatus Magasanikiibacteriota. The record is from RNAcentral. RNAcentral also lists the same sequence under 3 other names.
GCCGAUGUGAUGAAAUUGGUAAACAUGCACGACUCAAAAUCGUGUGCCGCAAGGCUUGUGGGUUCGAUUCCCACCAUCGGCACAA